This 309-nucleotide ribosomal RNA is filed under the name uncultured eukaryote. RNAcentral's name for it is "partial 18S ribosomal RNA". It matches the Rfam family "Eukaryotic small subunit ribosomal RNA", at positions 1470 to 1796 of the family's 1831-position model. The record is from RNAcentral.
CCCUUAGAUGUUCUGGGCGGCCCGCGCACUACAUUGGCACUCUCAAUAAGUUCCUAGAUCUAAAACUUUGGGGUAUUCUAUUAAGUGGUGUCGUGACUGGGAUUAACCCUUGCAAUUAUUGGUUACGAACGAGGAAUUCCUUGUAAUCGCGGUUUAUCAGCCCGCGUUGAAUGCGUCCCUGCCCUUUGUACACACCGCCCGUCGCUCCUACCGAUGAACCGUCCGGUGAAGUUCAUGGAGUGGUGGUUGUUCCAGCUGCUGUCGAAGUGAAAUGGACCUCACGAUUUAGAGGAAGGAGAAGUCGUAACA